GCCCUUAGAGUUUGAUCAUGGCUCAGGACGAACGCUGGCGGCGCGCUUAACACAUGCGAGUUGAACGCUCCGCCCUCUUCUGCCCUUCGGGGCAGAGAGGAUCACGGAGAGUAGCGGACGGGUGAGUAACGCGUAGGUAACCUGCCCUGGGGAGGAGGAUAACCCUGCGAAAGCGGGGCUAAUCCUGCAUAUGUUAGGGAGUGGCCAACACACCCUAAUGAAAGGCGGCAUCAAGCCGUCGCCCCGGGAUGGGCCUGCGUCGGAUUAGCCAGCUGGUGGGGUAAAGGCCCACCAGGGCGACGAUCCGUAGCUGGUCUGAGAGGACGAUCAGCCACACUGGGACUGAGACACGGCCCAGACUCCUACGGGAGGCAGCAGUGGGGAAUCUUCCGCAAUGGGCGCAAGCCUGACGGAGCGACGCCGCGUGGAUGAAGAAGGCCUUCGGGUCGUAAAGUCCUGUCAGUGGGGAAGAAAGCGAUCAUCAAGAAAAGGUGAUCGUUGACGGUACCCGUUGAGGAACCCU
This 523-nucleotide ribosomal RNA is filed under the name uncultured low G+C Gram-positive bacterium. RNAcentral's name for it is "bacterial SSU rRNA". It matches the Rfam family "Bacterial small subunit ribosomal RNA", at positions 1 to 493 of the family's 1533-position model. Lineage: Bacteria; Bacillati; Bacillota. The record is from RNAcentral.